This is a small nucleolar RNA of Cricetulus griseus (Chinese hamster), 70 nucleotides long. NCBI's taxonomy places the organism in Eukaryota, Metazoa, Chordata, Mammalia, Rodentia, Cricetidae. The record is from Ensembl.
UGCCUGUGUCUCCCAUUCACUUUGGAAAGUAGUAAAUAUGCUGUCAAAAAGGGUAAAAAUUAUGACAGGU